Molecule: long non-coding RNA, 736 nt
Organism: Mustela erminea (ermine)
Lineage: Eukaryota; Metazoa; Chordata; Mammalia; Carnivora; Mustelidae
Exons: 3
Source: RefSeq, a predicted model, not a curated record
AGCCAAAACCAGGAGUUGGACACCCAACCAACUGUGCCACCCAGGUUCCCCUGAAAGUUCACCUUUUAAACCAGGGAUUUAAACAGGACUGUCUUUGAACUUAAGAUGAGGAUGGGGUGAAUGUUUGGCAAACCUUUCAGAACUCAGGCUUGAAGCAGUAGCCUGAUGCCUUGUGUUGGCCCCUCUGGCAUUUAAGGCUUUUCCCUCCCUGUAUGAAAAGAUUGGGUGUGGACCUUUCUCCUGCUAGAACUCCAGAGUCAAGAUCCGUUCUUUACAAGUAAUUUGGUCUCUUCGUGACCUUGGGAUGGUCACUCACCUUCUGUACUGUUAGAACUUCUCCUGGGAAGAUAUUACAAAUUCAUGUGCACAAGUGAGAACACAGGGUGGUAAGAGGCCAAUCUUUCAAACUGACCCAGGCUUUGCCCAGAUCAUCUGUGCUGAAGGUGUUCCAGCCAUAGAGGUCCUUCAGACAUCCCCAACCACCCACAGUAUGUGUGUGCUGUAGGGAGAGGGGUGCUUACAGACAUAUACACACCGUACCUCACAGGAAGGAAGAUGACAGGUAAGGGUGUGUAAAGUACACUCUGACUUUCCCUACUAAGGGUGUCUCUUUUCACUUAAAACUAUGCCAAGAAAGUUAACAGAUUGAUAGUCCAUGGCAGAGUGUGUUCUAAUAAUGCCUACUUAAAAAAAUUUUUUUUUAAAUUUGUAUUUAUUUUGAACGUGAGAGAACACA